ACAAUGGGGGCAACCCUGAUCCAGCCAUGCCGCGUGAGUGAUGAAGGCCUUAGGGUCGUAAAGCUCUUUCGCCAGGGAUGAUAAUGACAGUACCUGGUAAAGAAACCCCGGCUAACUCCGUGCCAGCAGCCGCGGUAAUACGGAGGGGGUUAGCGUUGUUCGGAAUUACUGGGCGUAAAGCGCGCGUAGGCGGACUAUUAAGUCGAGGGUGAAAUCCCGGGGCUCAACCCCGGAACUGCCUUCGAUACUGGUAGCCUUGAGUUCGAGAGAGGUGAGUGGAAUUCCGAGUGUAGAGGUGAAAUUCGUAGAUAUUCGGAGGAACACCAGUGGCGAAGGCGGCUCACUGGCUCGAUACUGACGCUGAGGUGCGAAAGUGUGGGGAGCAAACAGGAUUAGAUACCCUGGUAGUCCACACCGUAAACGAUGAAUGCCAGUUGUCGGGUAGCAUGCU
This 451-nucleotide ribosomal RNA is filed under the name uncultured Alphaproteobacteria bacterium. Its description in RNAcentral is "bacterial SSU rRNA". It matches the Rfam family "Bacterial small subunit ribosomal RNA", at positions 368 to 837 of the family's 1533-position model. The record is from RNAcentral. Lineage: Bacteria; Pseudomonadati; Pseudomonadota; Alphaproteobacteria.